Molecule: long non-coding RNA, 941 nt
Organism: Ictidomys tridecemlineatus (thirteen-lined ground squirrel)
Lineage: Eukaryota; Metazoa; Chordata; Mammalia; Rodentia; Sciuridae
Source: RefSeq, a predicted model, not a curated record
UUCUCCUUUGCUAGCAAAGCAAUAAAUCAUUUAUUUCUUUUUUCUCAAAACUGUGUCCUGGUUAUUAGAUUGGCAUGGGGACAGAGCUUUCGGCAACACCUCCAGAGCAGUUGCAAGCAGCAUUUUAUUCCCUUAUGUGCAGGGUGCCUCCUCCGUUCUCCCUGGCUGAGGACUGCUGGUGUACAGUCUUUCUGGAUGUUGCCUAGGUUUGACUCUCUCCUAUGGGGUCUCCACUUCUCUGUGAUCUCUUGGGAGAGAGCUGGAGAAAAACACUUCUGCCUGCUGUUCUUUUCUGUGGAUGCCGGUCUUAAAAUGAAGUUACCUCUGGCUGCUCCUGAAUGUUGAAGAAAGCAAAGCUAUUUCUUCCACUCAGACCCUGCCCCUGGUGUGGGGUUCACUGGAGUCAAGAGAAAGCCCAUCACCAUUGUGCUCUCCGUUACUGGAACAACCAGCCCCCCCUGGGAAGGAGAAAGGUCUAGUGGCCGCCAUAGGCUGCCAGGAACUAAGAAACCUGUUUCUGCUUCCUGCCUUGUUCUCUGAGCCACUUCCCCUAAGGUGACACCUUCUGUGCUUUGGUCGGGACAUCAGGCUCCCUGUGCUUCUAUACCAGUUCUGUGGGACCUGACGGCUGGUCCUAGUUGAGACUGAGAUGUGAGUUUGGGGAUGCAGGAAAAAAAAAAAAAGACUGAGUCUCAAAAGAGAGGUGCCUGUUGGAAUGCAAAAGAAACAACUUGUCCCAUGUCCUUGGCCCUCCUUCUUGGCCCCUGUCCUUGCCUGCAAAAGGUACCAUGGCGCAAAGGCAAGGAAACUGACUCUACCCUGACUCCACUUCUAGUUGUUCCAGCCCCUCAUACUGUCCCCCUAAAUUUUCUUAUUUAUUCUUGUCCUGGGGGAUUGAAUGCUCAGCCACUCUAUCACUGAGCCAGGUAACUAUGCUUUUU